Molecule: long non-coding RNA, 568 nt
Filed under: Carica papaya (papaya)
Lineage: Eukaryota; Viridiplantae; Streptophyta; Magnoliopsida; Brassicales; Caricaceae
Description: long non-coding RNA (CPAP_LNC016254)
Source: RNAcentral
CUACCCUCAUCUAUCAAUGUCUCAGGGGAGUAUUGGCCCAACUCUAGGAACUUACGAGCAUAUUCCGAUACCAUCAUGUUUUCCUGGACCAGCUAGACAAACUCCAUCUCCUUUAGAUGUCGGAUGAGCUCAAGGAGGUACUCCGCAUGAAAGGUUGCUAAGAACUGCUCCCAAGUGACUAGUGUAGGCAGGGUGGCCUGCUUGAGCUCCCACCAACAACCUGCUUCCCCUACCAACAUGUAGGAAGCAAGGGUAACCCUCUGCUCGGGAACCACUCCUAAUGUCUUGAAAGCCUUCUCUGUCUCCACCAACCAGUACUAGGCAUCUUCGAAAGAGGACUCCCCUUCAAAAGUUGAAGGGUUCAGUCUCCUGUACCUCUCUACGUAGCCCGGGUCAAUUAGGGAAGGAGCUGGGUCCCGUGGAAGAGGGACUGGGCUUGGCGAAGGAUAGACUGGGGGGCCCUGUGGUGGCACCUGCUGAUAUAAUGGGGGCACUGGAUUAUACUGCGGCGAUGGUGCCGGGGGGACUGUGGAGGAGCAAGCUCGUGCCAGGGUGGCUCGGGAUCCGC